This 497-nucleotide ribosomal RNA is filed under the name uncultured bacterium. Its description in RNAcentral is "partial 16S ribosomal RNA". It matches the Rfam family "Bacterial small subunit ribosomal RNA", at positions 899 to 1397 of the family's 1533-position model. The record is from RNAcentral.
ACUCAAAGGAAUUGACGGGGGCCCGCACAAGCGGUGGAGCAUGUGGUUCAAUUCGACGCAACGCGAAGAACCUUACCCAGGCUUGAACAGCGAGUGACCACCUACGAAAGUAGGCUUCCGCAAGGACACUCGUAGAGGUGCUGCAUGGCUGUCGUCAGCUCGUGUCGUGAGAUGUUGGGUUAAGUCCCGCAACGAGCGCAACCCUUGUUUGCUGUUGCCAUCAGGUUAAGCUGGGCACUCUGCAAAGACUGCCGGUGAUAAACCGGAGGAAGGUGGGGAUGACGUCAAGUCAGCAUGGCCUUUAUGUCUGGGGCUACACACGUGCUACAAUGGCCGGUACAAACCGUCGCGAGCCCGCAAGGGGGAGCUAAUCGGAGAAAGCCGGUCUCAGUUCGGAUAGCAGGCUGCAACUCGCCUGCUUGAAGUUGGAAUCGCUAGUAAUCGCGGAUCAGCACGCCGCGGUGAAUACGUUCCCGGGCCUUGUACACACCGCCCGU